AGUUAACAAACUUAAAUCAUUAUAUUGAUAUUGUUCAUUGUAAAUACAUAUAUUUUACCAAUACCAAACUAGCUAAAAGGUAAAAAGAAAGAAACUUUUUUCUAACAAAAAUUCUAACUAAGAAAAUUUCUUCUGCAACAAAAAAACUAAAACUAAAACUACUAAACUAGGGAGAUAGAGGGGGGGGGGUGAUGUAGUCGCUGGCUUCCAGACUGAGCCUAUCCAGAAUUGCCUGUAUAAAAUGAUCGAUCCGACGUAGUUCACGUUCAAGAUAAAUAUGGUCCUGACCCAGUCCGUAGAACAGGUGAUCAAGGUCAUUGAGGAGGAGAAGAACAUUGUAGUGGCGAUGGGUACUCAUUCUCCUGAGUAAAAGAGAUGAACCGCAAUGAGCAAUGUUACCUUAAUAAAAGCUUUUUAAUUUCAAUGUUUGGGAGUCUCCUCCCAUUCUCUCAUGAAAUCACCAAAACCAAGAACAACCUCUGUAAUAGACGUCCUAGAAGUACACUAGACUCGAUUCUCAAUUCUGCUAGUGAUAUAUGUCUAUUCUAUGAAUGGUCAAUGAUUGGGUAAAUAUUCAUACAAAAUACUGAAAGUGAAAUAAUUAUUUCUAAUCAACGAUCGUUGGGUUUAUGGAAUAGAGAAACAAAGUUGGAGUCACUUGAGCUAUGGUAAUGUAUAUUCUAAAGAGGUUUUACAUAAUUUGAGCAAUUUCAAAGCUUUAUAACAAUGGUAAAAAGCGUGUUUUAGAAGAUAACAAAAAAAUUGGGAUAAUAAUGAAUACAAUGGAUAAGAUUAUGAUGUUUGUGGAUUGAUUUUUAGCUGAUCAUUGGAAAAAUAACCAAAAUCGUGCCUGAAAUGGAGAAUUUUAGAGGAAAAUGAGAGCUUCUAUUUUAAGCUUUUGAAUUUUUUUAAAUUAUUUUUGAAAGGAUAUUUUCAAUAUAAUUAUGGAUGAAGAAGAGGGUUAAAGUGUAUUAUUAAAAACUUGUGUGUUAGAUUUGUUAACUUGGAAAGAAGAGAUGAUGACAUCAUAUUUAGUGGGUAUUUGACAAAUUUUUCAAGACUUGUGUCUAAAUGACAAGCAAAGUUUUCAAAAAAGGAUAUUUGACAACUUACCCCAAGUCUUUGUCCUAUGUAAUAUAUCGGUUCAAUUCCUUCUAAAAAUUUUUAGACACUACUAAAAUAAUUGUUAGAACCGAUAUAAAAAAUCAACCUCACAUUAAAAAUGACUUGAAAAUCGAUCUCAACCGUAUAUCACAACAUGCUCAAUUGAUUUUCAAAACCAACUUUAUGAGGGCUCAAAUAUUGACCCCACAAGGUCUAUAGUCUUUGUCCGCAAAAUUCAUAAAUUUUGCAAAAUAUUAAUCAUAUCACCCUCAUGAGGUCAGUAUCUUAUGUUAUUAUUUUAUUUAUUUAUCUCAAUCUGGUGAGAUCGAUAUACUUAUUUAAUUAUUGAUUUUAAAAACAUUGACUUUUCAGGGUUAGUUUCAUAACUAAAUUUUUAUAUUUUAUGCCAUAUAGCGACUUAUUAAGGAUACAAAUAUUUUUUUUUUUAGAAAAUCAAAUCAUAUGUGGGUCAGAUUUUUUCAAUUUCUAGAAAAUGAAAAUGAAAAAAACUAACUUCAUGAUGUCAGUUUAAUUACUGAAAAAAAUUGACAGUAAAACACUAUUUUUUUCUCAGCUGGGGCACCUGCCAAUUAUUCAAUUCAAAUACUAUAAAAAUAGAUAAUAUAAAUAGUUAGACCAAGCUCACGAAGCUACCAAUAGUCUAUCAAACUACAAAUAUAUAUAUCACAAAUCAUCACACUCAUACUACAUCAAAUGCAACUCGAAACUAUUUCAAAAUUAAAUGAAAAGGUCAUACAUCAUAGUUAUAGAAUUCCACUUCAAAUUGCUUCUAGGUUCUCAUACAUUCACAAAACACUUAUGUAAUUCUUAUAUAAAUUACCAUAAAUAGCAUACGUUAGUAUCUACAAAUUUAAAGUUCCAUCAUGUGGCAGUGUGUUUGGCCGGAGCAUUUACUACCUCAUUAUUCUCCGUGAAGUAUUGUUUAAUUGAUGUUUCUAUAGUGCAUCUUGUCUUUGAUGCUUGCUACAAUCCUUUGUAUAUUUCAGGGGACUUGGAUGAAUCCUAGUGUCAUUUGGACUAUGAACAUAGUGUCCCAUUAAAAGACGUAGGGAAAAUGGUCAUUAUUUUUAGACCAGUUGUAAUCCUUAUUAUCUAACACAAUCAUUAUUUUUAGACCAGUUGUAAUCCCUAUUAUCUGAAGCUAUCCUAAGAGAAUUGAUGUUCUUAAAAGAUGAAAACUACUCCAAUAACUGUUCAUUGAUACAAGAAUAGUAUAAAUGUAAAGCCAGUGAUCUGGAUCCCUAAGUACAAAAUUUCUACAAACUCUAUAUCAUCUGCAGAGUGAGGUGUGAGUGCUUUGAGGACUUACCCAAAGAAAGUGAAACCAUCAUUGAAGGCGAUUAGGUAACAAUGGUCGGAAGUAUGUCGAUUAACUAUAUCCAGUGACCUUUGUAAGGUUUUAUAUUUAGUAUCAGAGGGAUCUAUUAUCUCUGCUUAAUGUAGAGUUACUUUUGAAGUAAAAAAUCAAAGUUAAGUGACUUUAUUAGAAAAGAGUUCUUAGUUGAAUGACCAUUUGAGAUAUUAACUUUGCUCCAACUCUUUAAUUAGAUAUUUAAAUUAACAAAUUUUAAAUUAUAGAUAUGCAUAAUCUGAUCGAGAUUGGACGAUGCCCCUUCCUAACCCUUUAUAUUGUGUCUCACACAAUAUUUGAUCAUCAAUAAUAGAUGAAAUGAACCUAGAAUAGAGAACUAAGUGUAAAUUUAUUUUAUAUUUCAAAUUUAGAUAUUUCUUAGCUGAAUCAAACAGGUGCAGGAAACUUAAGCUUAUGGCUAUCAUCUUCACAUGGUGCAAUCAAUGCCAAGAAGAUGGCCGUAAACUUAUUUGAUAGUAAUGUACUUUAUUACAAAUAAUAAAUUUUCAAAUGAUAGGUAUCUUCUAAUCAAUACAAUACUGCAUUAUACAUUUAUGCAUAAAACCAUUAAGUCAAUUGCUUUUCAUGCAUUGCAAUUAGUUUAUAAUCCCGUCAACUUAUGAAGCUGGAGGUGACUAUGAAUUAUUAAGUAGCUACUAUUAGACGUGUUACAAAAUUACAGUAUUCAUAAAAAUUAAUCAACCAAAAAGAGAGUAAAGUUGAAAGCAAAAUUGUUCAGAUUAUUAACUAUUCUCUCCGUCAUCUUUACUUGCCCAAAAGAAAAAUAAUCUAAAAAUAUUUACAGCAAAAUCAAAACAAAAGAGGAGAUAAUAUUAUUACAAAUUAAAAGAGAAGUUAGAACUAUGAAAUCAAACCUAAAGAUGUUUUUGAAAUUAUCCCAAAAUGACACCUUCCUCUUUGACAAUAAAAAAAUCCAAUUGAGAGUAAGAUAGCUGUUAAAUAAGAUUUUAGUUAUUUUAGUAGUAGUACAACUUGAUAAGCUCAACAUGCUACUGUUAUUAAUUCCAACGAGCACAAAAAUGAAAAGAAAGGAAGAGCAAAAAAAGCUGAAAUAAAAAUAAAAGUUCCAGGAUGCGCCUUGGUAAAAAGGUUCUCAACUUUUAGAGGUGUUAUCGUACUUAGAGAAAGAUGUUUAUUAGAGCUUGAGUGAGGAACCGAAACCUAUCUUCUUUAUUGAAAAGUAUGGUAUUUAGUAGUUCAUAGUCAAAACAGGUUUUAAUUAGGCUUGGGUUAGUUUUGGGUAGUGCAAUUAGUUUAUUAUAUCCUUGUAAUUUUUGGGUUAUAUAGUUGGUAUUUGGUUCUUUGAUAUUUGUAGCUCUGGGGUUGUGGUUCAGAAAGGUUUGUACUCUGUAUAUAUUUUCUAUGUAUUUCUGGGCGGUGUAGUUGUAUACUUUUUUAUCUUGGUUUAGGUCUAUUAACUCCUUUGCUUGUACGUGCAGAAGUAGAUUGAUAAAUGUUUAGGUCUAUUAUUUCUCUUCCAUUUGUAAAUUUAUAGCUCUAAUACCAUUUGUAGGGGGGUGCGCAGAUUUAAUAGAUCUAAUAGAUUGAUUAGGUUUCUAGUGAAUCUAUUUUUAUUUGUGCGUGGAUAUUUUUUAAUUUUUGUUUCAAUAUCUUUUAAUGAUUUACUUUUUUCGUAAGAUAUAUUCAUUAAUUAUUUUAUCCUGUAGUAAUUGCAGAGUUACAAAUUUCUGUAUAAUAAUUUAUCCUAUCUGUACUAUAAUGUAUAUCUAAUUCUAGAUUUUCAAUGUUAUUUAUUAUCUUGUGUUGUUCUUCUCGUAGUGAGUUUUUUAAAUUAUAUAAACUAUCACAUGUACUUUUAUCUAAAUUUUCUAAGGUUUUUUCUAUCCAUAUUAAUUUUUCUUUUAGGUCUUUCAUUAUUUGUCUAAUUCGGUUUCUAUAAUUAAUUUCAUUAUUUAGAUUUUCUUGAUUUUCUCUAGUUUGUCUAAUAUAUUCUAACAUAUCUUAAUCUGAAUAAUAUCCUUCUGGGUAAAUUUCUUCGUAUAACUGUUCUAGGUAAUUUAUAGUUUCAGUUUCGUAAUCUAUUACUUUUUCUAAUAUUAUUUUCUUAAUAUCUAUAAUUUCUAUAUUUUUAAGUAUAUAUAAGAUUAAUACUUUAAGAUAAUCUAAAUGAUCUAUCUUUUAAAAUUGGUUUUAUUAUAGUGUUUCGUAGUUGUUUGUUUUAGCCUUAGUAGUUCUUGCAUAUUUUUAUUAAGAAAUUCUAUGUAUUUUAUAUCUUUAUUUUCCAUGUAUUUGUCUAUAUUUAUUUUUAUCUGUUUUUCUAGUAACUGCAUAUUUUUUAUAUCUUUUUUCUAAAAAUUUUAUGUAACUUAUCAUCGUAAAUAUUUGUAAGAGUAGUUAGGUAGAUAUGGUAUAUAAUUUACUCUAGUCAUGUAAUAUUCACCAAAAGCUUUUUCUAAUAUGAUUUUUCUUAUAUCUGCUACUUUUAUAUUUCUAAGUGCAUACAAAAUAAGUAUUUUGAAUUUAUCUACCAUCACAUCAGAUAUAUUAUCAUUCAUUUUUCAUAAAUUUGCUUUUUUCAAAAUAUUCCCUUCAACCAUGUACAUAAAAUAUAGUCAUCUUAGCUUACUAUAUACUAGAUUAUUCUUAAAUAAUAUGUUCUUCCGUCACUAUUAACAUGGUAAUCCGGAUACUUUUUCCCUUAAACAGCGCCUCUACUCUGGUUACUCCCCGCCACGGCUUCUUGCCUCAUUGGUUUCACCUUUAGGAUGGCAUAGUCCUUAGGGAUAUUUCUCCGUUUCCUCUUUGUUAAUAAACUUCUUAACAUAUUAUUCUUCGAAUAAUUCUACUAUAAAGUAACUAAUAUGAAUUUAUUUUAUCAUAUCAUGAUUGUUGGGAAUUAUGAAAUUAGCUAUUCAUAAUUAUAAAUAGAUAUACCUGUUCCGGUAGCUUUGAUGUUUCUGAGUUUUGUUGUUCCAUAGCUUUUUCCAUUGGA
This 5450-nucleotide long non-coding RNA is filed under the name Capsicum annuum. RNAcentral's name for it is "long non-coding RNA (CANN_LNC001575)". Lineage: Eukaryota; Viridiplantae; Streptophyta; Magnoliopsida; Solanales; Solanaceae. The record is from RNAcentral.